This 286-nucleotide long non-coding RNA is filed under the name Citrus x clementina. RNAcentral's name for it is "Citrus clementina (C. clementina) long non-coding RNA (CCLE_LNC000387)". Lineage: Eukaryota; Viridiplantae; Streptophyta; Magnoliopsida; Sapindales; Rutaceae. The record is from RNAcentral.
ACAAAUUCCUUUUAAUGCUUUCUUUUGGAAUAACUUGAAAUAGUCCAAGUUGCAUCUCAUGUUCAAAAUGAAUGAAUUAUUAUUGUUUUAAUAUGUAAGAACCUUAAGCCUGAUAUUUACCUUUUGAGUUAAAUAAAUGCAUCAUUCCAAUUCCAUAGGUUUGGCCAAUUGAGUCUGGUAUGAAUCGUAAAUUCUGAAGCCAUGUUUGGAUUAGAGUAUAAUUAUUUUUAUACUAUGGUUAUUUCGUUGGUCGAAACCUGAAAGUAGAAUGGUUCUCAGCUUAGAU